GGGGGUUUAGCUCAGCUGGAAGAGCACCUGCUUUGCAAGCAGGGGGUCGAGAGUUCGAAUCUCUUAAUCUCCACCA
This 76-nucleotide transfer RNA is filed under the name Caryophanales bacterium. RNAcentral describes it as "tRNA-Ala". It matches the Rfam family "tRNA". From Rfam's summary of the family: Transfer RNA (tRNA) molecules are approximately 80 nucleotides in length. Their secondary structure includes four short double-helical elements and three loops (D, anti-codon, and T loops). Lineage: Bacteria; Bacillati; Bacillota; Bacilli; Caryophanales. The record is from RNAcentral.